UACGAAGGGUGCAAGCGUUACUCGGAAUUACUGGGCGUAAAGCGUGCGUAGGUGGUUUGUUAAGUCUGUUGUGAAAGCCCCCGGGGCUCAACCUGGGGAAUGGCAAUGGAUACUGGCAGGCUAGAGUGCGGUAGAGGGUAGUGGAAUUCCCGGUGUAGCGGUGAAAAUGCGUAGAGAUCGGGAGGAACACCAGUGGCGAAGGCGGCUACCUGGACCAGCACUGACACUGAGGCACGAAAGCGUGGGGGAGAAACAGGGAU
This 260-nucleotide ribosomal RNA is filed under the name uncultured bacterium. Its description in RNAcentral is "partial 16S ribosomal RNA". It matches the Rfam family "Bacterial small subunit ribosomal RNA", at positions 524 to 779 of the family's 1533-position model. The record is from RNAcentral.